CCUACGGGAGGCAGCAGUGAGGAAUAUUGGUCAAUGGACGAGAGUCUGAACCAGCCAAGUAGCGUGAAGGAUGACUGCCCUAUGGGUUGUAAACUUCUUUUAUAUGGGAAUAAAAUGUUCCACGUGUGGGAUUUUGUAUGUACCAUAUGAAUAAGGAUCGGCUAAAUCCGUGCCAGCAGCCGCGGUAAUACGGAGGAUCCGAGCGUUAUCCGGAUUUAUUGGGUGUAAAGGGAGCGUAGGUGGAUUGGUAAGUCAGUUGUGAAAGUUUGCGGCUCAACCGUAGAAUUGCAGUUGAAACUGGCAGUCUUGAGUACAGUAGAGGUGGGCGGAAUUCGUGGUGUAGCGGUGAAAUGCUUAGAUAUCACGAAGAACUCCGAUUGCGAAGGCAGUUCACUGGACUGCAACUGACACUGAGGCUCGAAAGUGUGGGUAUCAAACAGGAUUAGAUACCCCUGUAGUC
This 460-nucleotide ribosomal RNA is filed under the name uncultured bacterium. RNAcentral describes it as "partial 16S ribosomal RNA". It matches the Rfam family "Bacterial small subunit ribosomal RNA", at positions 338 to 795 of the family's 1533-position model. The record is from RNAcentral.